Molecule: ribosomal RNA, 28 nt
Filed under: Pseudonectria foliicola
Lineage: Eukaryota; Fungi; Ascomycota; Sordariomycetes; Hypocreales; Nectriaceae
Description: partial 18S ribosomal RNA
Source: RNAcentral
CGUAGGUGAACCAGCGGAGGGAUCAUUA